CUGAAACUGACUAUCGGGAACAAGAGGAGAACCUCGUCCUGAUGCAAAUAAAGACUCGAUCGAUCAAGAUUGGACGAGGAGGAAAGCCUCCUCAAUGGCUCCUCUACACUUUCAUGACCCCAUUAAGAGCAGAGGGAAAACCCUCACUCGAACACAGAAAAAAGGGGGGAGAUGAAAAGAGAAAGCGACGAACUACACCAGCGAUAGGUGAAAAAU
Molecule: long non-coding RNA, 216 nt
Filed under: Elaeis guineensis (African oil palm)
Lineage: Eukaryota; Viridiplantae; Streptophyta; Magnoliopsida; Arecales; Arecaceae
Description: long non-coding RNA (EGUI_LNC076397)
Source: RNAcentral